This 254-nucleotide ribosomal RNA is filed under the name uncultured bacterium. RNAcentral's name for it is "partial 16S ribosomal RNA". It matches the Rfam family "Bacterial small subunit ribosomal RNA", at positions 524 to 776 of the family's 1533-position model. The record is from RNAcentral.
UACGUAGGGCGCAAGCGUUAUCCGGAAUUAUUGGGCGUAAAGAGCUCGUAGGCGGUUCAGUAAGUCGGGUGUGAAAACUUUGGGCUUAGCCCAAAGCGUGCAUCCGAUACUGCUGUGACUUGAGUUCGGUAGGGGAGUGGGGAAUUCCUAGUGUAGCGGUGAAAUGCGUAGAUAUCGAGAGGAACACCUGCGGCGAAGGCGGGUUGCUGGGCUGAUACUGACGCUGAGGCGCGAAAGCCAGGGGAGCGAACGGG